Long non-coding RNA from Telopea speciosissima, 149 nucleotides. RefSeq lists it as uncharacterized. The record is from RefSeq and is a predicted model, not a curated record. NCBI's taxonomy places the organism in Eukaryota, Viridiplantae, Streptophyta, Magnoliopsida, Proteales, Proteaceae. The transcript is spliced from 3 exons.
CAUCUAAAUGAAAGGUUCUCAAUGGAAGAAGAAAUUUGUGGUGCCAUGAUCAUGUCCUUCUAUAUUUCUCAAUUGUGCUUUCUGUUUUCUAUCGUGUAUAUUAUUGAAAAUACAAGACAGUGAGUGAAUAAUUUCCAAUCGAAUUGUGC